This 253-nucleotide ribosomal RNA is filed under the name uncultured bacterium. Its description in RNAcentral is "partial 16S ribosomal RNA". It matches the Rfam family "Bacterial small subunit ribosomal RNA", at positions 524 to 776 of the family's 1533-position model. The record is from RNAcentral.
UACGGAGGGGACUAGCGUUGUUCGGAAUUACUGGGCGUAAAGCGCACGUAGGCGGAUUUGUAAGUCAGGGGUGAAAUCCCGGGGCUCAACCCCGGAACUGCCUUUGAUACUGCGAAUCUCGAGUCCGGAAGAGGUGAGUGGAAUUCCUGGUGUAGCGGUGAAAUGCGCAGAUAUCAGGAGGAACACCUAUGGCGAAGGCAGCUCGCUGGGACGGUACUGACGCUGAGGCGCGAAAGCGUGGGGAGCGAACAGG